GACAGAGGGUGCAAACGUUGUUCGGAAUUACUGGGCGUAAAGCGCGUGUAGGCUGCUCGGAAAGUCGGAUGUGAAAGCCCUGGGCUCAACCUAGGAAGUGCAUUCGAAACUUCCGAGCUGGAGUGCUGGAGAGGAAGGCGGAAUUCUCGGUGUAGAGGUGAAAUUCGUAGAUAUCGAGAGGAACACCGGUGGCGAAGGCGCACAUCUGGCCCGAUACUGACGCUGAGGCGCGAAAGCUAGGGGAGCAAACGGG
Molecule: ribosomal RNA, 253 nt
Filed under: uncultured bacterium
Lineage: Bacteria
Description: partial 16S ribosomal RNA
Rfam family: Bacterial small subunit ribosomal RNA
Source: RNAcentral